GUCUUUGUUCUUUUCUCCACCGUCAAAGCCAAAGCUUAAUACUUGUGUAUCGCCUGAGAAAUAUGACUUCUCCGGGAAAAUCUCCGAGAUCCGACCGGAAAUCACCGACGGUUGUGACCGUGCAGCCGUCUUCUCCCAGAUUCCCUAUCGGCACACCUACUGCUGGAGCACAACGUAAGAUCGGGAUCGCUGUCGAUCUGAGCGACGAGAGUGCGUACGCAGUCCAGUGGGCUGUUCAGAACUAUCUCCGAUCAGGUGACGCCGUCGUUCUCCUCCACGUUCAACCCACAAGUGUACUUUACGGCGCCGAUUGGGGUGCCAUUGACCUGUCGCCGCAGUGGGAUCCGGACAACGAGGAGUCUCAGAAGAAGCUUGAGGACGAUUUCGACAUUUUCACGAACAAGAAAGCGAGUGAUGUUGCUCAGCCCUUGGUUGAGGCGGAUAUUCCGUUUAAAAUCCACAUCGUCAAGGAUCACGAUAUGAAGGAGAGGCUCUGCUUGGAGGUCGAGAGGUUAGGGCUAAGCACUUUGAUUAUGGGUAGCAGAGGAUUCGGUGCUACGAAACGGAGCAGCAAAGGGAGGUUAGGGAGUGUCAGUGAUUACUCAGUUCACCACUGUGCUUGUCCCGUGGUUGUUGUUAGAUUUCCUGACGACAAAGAUGUUCAAGAUGUAAAAUCUGGCGAAUUUGGUCCCGGAAAUCUGGUAGAAGGUGAUAAACUUCACACAGUGCCUGAGCUGGCUGAGGAAGAGGGAGACAAGGAUGAGUACCAUGAUGCUCCGGAUAAGCAGCAGCAUCAAGGUUGACUUUGAAUUCUUAAGGUUUUGUAUAAGGAACUUUGUUAGCAGUCAUCUUUCGCAGCUAGUAUGCUUGGAUGCUAGGGAGAUUCAAUUCGAUGCUGUGAUGAUUGAGGAGACUUCCCUCACGAAACAUAGAAGGAAAAGAAAGCGUUCCUGUCCCCUUGGUUUGUGUUCUUGAGCGUGCUUCAUAGUCUGGUGUUUGCGGUUUUUGGUUUGGGGUAUCCUAGAUCUUCGUUUACGUUGUAAGUAUGGUCUUGUUUUUGGGUGUUGCUUUAAAACCUUCUGAAAUUGAGAUGAAUGGAUUUGAUGUAUUUGUUAUACUUGGUUCUCUUUGAAAAAGCAGUGAAAUAAAUUUUAAUGGUCA
Capsella rubella is the source of this 1161-nucleotide RNA transcript. It is a transcript of the gene named universal stress protein PHOS34, with no coding region annotated. The record is from RefSeq and is a predicted model, not a curated record. The transcript has 3 exons. NCBI's taxonomy places the organism in Eukaryota, Viridiplantae, Streptophyta, Magnoliopsida, Brassicales, Brassicaceae.